This 556-nucleotide ribosomal RNA is filed under the name uncultured bacterium. RNAcentral's name for it is "bacterial SSU rRNA". It matches the Rfam family "Bacterial small subunit ribosomal RNA", at positions 157 to 734 of the family's 1533-position model. The record is from RNAcentral.
CGGUGAUUAAUACCGGAUACUCCUUCUUGUUAUAAGACAAGUCGGGAAAGUUUUUCGCUAAGGGAUCAGUCUAUGUUCCAUCAGCUUGUUGGUGAGGUAAUGGCUCACCAAGGCUAUGACGGAUAUCUGGUUUGAGAGGAUGAUCAGACACACUGGAACUGAGACACGGUCCAGACUCCUACGGGAGGCAGCAGUGAGGAAUAUUGCACAAUGGAGGAAACUCUGAUGCAGCAACGCCGCGUGGAGGAUGACGCAUUUCGGUGUGUAAACUCCUUUUAUUAGGGAAGAUAAUGACGGUACCUAAUGAAUAAGCACCGGCUAACUCCGUGCCAGCAGCCGCGGUAAUACGGAGGGUGCAAGCGUUACUCGGAAUCACUGGGCGUAAAGGGUGCGUAGGCUGGCUUUUAAGUCAGAUGUGAAAUCCAAUGGCUCAACCAUUGAACUGCAUUUGAAACUGAAAGCCUAGAGUUCAGAAGGGGCAGAUGGAAUUAGUGGUGUAGGGGUAAAAUCCGUAGAUAUCACUAGGAAUAUCAAAAGCGAAGGCGAUCUGCUGGGA